UAUGUGAUCGUCUCUCGCAUAUCAAUAAGCGGAGGAAAAGAAACUAACAAGGAUUCCCCUAGUAACGGCGAGUGAAGCGGGAAGAGCUCAAAUUUGAAAUCUUAAAGGGUUUCCCUUUACGAAUUGUAGUUUAAAGAAGUGUUUUCUGUUGAGGUUUUGGUAAAAGUUCUUUGGAAUAGGACAUCAUAGAGGGUGAGAAUCCCGUAUUUGACCUUUACUUUCAACUUUGUGAUACACUUUCAAAGAGUCGGAUUGUUUGGGAAUGCAGUCCAAAAUGGGUGGUAAAUUUCAUCUAAAGCUAAAUAUUGGCGAGAGACCGAUAGCGAACAAGUACCGUGAGGGAAAGAUGAAAAGAACUUUGAAAAGAGAGUUAAACAGUACGUGAAAUUGUCAAAAGGGAAGCGUUUGACACCAGUGUUGUUUUUCUGAAAAUCAAUUAAAGAACUGUUUAUGCUAAGUUGUUUAGACUUUAUCAGCUAUCUGCUUAGUUUUGAGCUUUUCUUUAAUGCACUUUUCAGUUAACAAGUCAACAUCAAUUUCUUUUGCUGUGAAAAAAGCUUGAGGAAGGUGGCUUGAGAUUCGUCUUAAGUGUUUAUAGCCUCUUGCCUAUGCAGUCGGAGAGAUUGAGGUCUGCAGCGUAGAUCCUUCGGGGCUAAAUAGCAUUUGUGCUAAGUUAUAACAUUUUAUAGACAACUUGUUGACUAUGAUUUGUCUUGUAGCUUACUCGCUUAUGUUAUUUUACCUACGCUUAGGAUGUUGACACACGCGCGUGCUCG
RNAcentral lists this ribosomal RNA (776 nucleotides) under uncultured Neocallimastigales. RNAcentral's name for it is "partial large subunit ribosomal RNA". It matches the Rfam family "Eukaryotic large subunit ribosomal RNA", at positions 24 to 656 of the family's 3401-position model. Lineage: Eukaryota; Fungi; Neocallimastigomycota; Neocallimastigomycetes; Neocallimastigales. The record is from RNAcentral.